AAGAAGCUUGCUUCUUUGCUGACGAGUGGCGGACGGGUGAGUAAUGUCUGGGAAACUGCCCGAUGGAGGGGGAUAACUACUGGAAACGGUAGCUAAUACCGCAUAACGUCUUCGGACCAAAGAGGGGGACCUUCGGGCCUCUUGCCAUCGGAUGUGCCCAGAUGGGAUUAGCUAGUAGGUGGGGUAACGGCUCACCUAGGCGACGAUCCCUAGCUGGUCUGAGAGGAUGACCAGCCACACUGGAACUGAGACACGGUCCACACUCCUACGGGAGGCACCACUGGGGAAUAUUGCACAAUGGGCGCAAGCCUGAUGCAACCAUGCCUCGUGUAUGAAGAAGGCCU
Molecule: ribosomal RNA, 344 nt
Filed under: uncultured Pluralibacter sp.
Lineage: Bacteria; Pseudomonadati; Pseudomonadota; Gammaproteobacteria; Enterobacterales; Enterobacteriaceae
Description: bacterial SSU rRNA
Rfam family: Bacterial small subunit ribosomal RNA
Source: RNAcentral